Molecule: non-coding RNA, 330 nt
Organism: Vicia faba (fava bean)
Lineage: Eukaryota; Viridiplantae; Streptophyta; Magnoliopsida; Fabales; Fabaceae
Source: the annotation of a GenBank genome assembly
AUGAUUGUUAGAAGAAAAUUGGUUCUCGAAAUAGUUGACAGUGUGAGAAGCAAUCUCCACCGGGUCAGUAAGAGUUCUAUCUCCAUCUUUGAGCAUGGAGAGAGGCCUGUACUUUUGUUUAAUAUUUGUGAUGCGGUGAAAGUAAUCCGUGUUGAGGUCACCAUCAGAGCUCCAUUUAACUUAGGCCUUACUCCACCAGAAAUACUCCUCCAUGGCAAGGGCGUAGGAAAGAAUGGAUUGAGCUGCAUUUUCUUGACGCCUAAGAAUGUCAUUAGUAUCGUUGUUCUGAAUAUCCUACUGAAUAAUAACCAAGUCCGCCUUCGCUUUUAG